GACGAACGCUGGCGGCGUGCUUAACACAUGCAAGUCGAACGGAGAGGCCCUGCUUUUGUGGGGUGCUCGAGUGGCGAACGGGUGAGUAACACGUGAGUAACCUGCCCUUGACUUUGGGAUAACUUCAGGAAACUGGGGCUAAUACCGGAUAGGAGCUCCUGCUGCAUGGGGGGGGUUGGAAAGUUUCGGCGGUUGGGGAUGGACUCGCGGCUUAUCAGCUUGUUGGUGGGGUAGUGGCUUACCAAGGCUUUGACGGGUAGCCGGCCUGAGAGGGUGACCGGCCACAUUGGGACUGCGGUACGGCCCAGACUCCUACGGGAGGCAGAAGUGGGGAAUAUUGCACAAUGGGCGGAAGCCUGAUGCAGCAACGCCGCGUGCGGGAUGACGGCCUUCGGGUUGUAAACCGCUUUCGCCUGUGACGAAGCGUGAGUGACGGUAAUGGGUAAAGAAGCACCGGCUAACUACGUG
This 468-nucleotide ribosomal RNA is filed under the name uncultured bacterium. RNAcentral's name for it is "partial 16S ribosomal RNA". It matches the Rfam family "Bacterial small subunit ribosomal RNA", at positions 28 to 507 of the family's 1533-position model. The record is from RNAcentral.